RNAcentral lists this ribosomal RNA (213 nucleotides) under Verrucomicrobiota bacterium. Its description in RNAcentral is "Verrucomicrobia bacterium partial 16S ribosomal RNA". It matches the Rfam family "Bacterial small subunit ribosomal RNA", at positions 1328 to 1533 of the family's 1533-position model. Lineage: Bacteria; Pseudomonadati; Verrucomicrobiota. The record is from RNAcentral.
GGAAUCGCUAGUAAUGGCGCAUCAGCUACGGCGCCGUGAAUACGUUCCCGGGCCUUGUACACACCGCCCGUCACAUCAUGGAAGUCACUUGUAGCCGAAGUCGGCGUGCUAACCGCAAGGAGGCAGUCGCCUACGCUAUGAGCGGUAACUGGGAUGAAGUCGUAACAAGGUAGCCGUAGGGGAACCUGCGGCUGGAUCACCUCCUUUCUAAGG